RNAcentral lists this ribosomal RNA (468 nucleotides) under uncultured bacterium. RNAcentral's name for it is "partial 16S ribosomal RNA". It matches the Rfam family "Bacterial small subunit ribosomal RNA", at positions 28 to 507 of the family's 1533-position model. The record is from RNAcentral.
GACGAACGCUGGCGGCGUGCUUAACACAUGCAAGUCGAACGGAAAGGCCCUGCUUUUGUUGGUUGCUCGAGUGGCGAACGGGUGAGUAACACGUGAGUAACCUGCCCUUGACUUUGUGAUAACUUCAGGAAACUGGGGCUAAUACCGGAUAGGAGCUCCUGCUGCAUGGUGGGGGUUGGAAAGUUUCGGCGUUUGUGGAUGGACUCGCGGCUUAUCAGCUUGUUGGUGGGGUAGUGGCUUACCAGGGCUUUGACGGGUAGCCGGCCUGGGAGGGUGACCGGCCACAUUGGGACUGAGAGACGGACCAGAAUCCUACGGGAGGCAGCAGUGGGGAAUCUUGCACAAUGGGGGGAAGCCUGAUGCAGCAACGCCGCGUGCGGGAUAACGGCCUUCGGGUUGUAAACCGAUUUCGCCUGUGACGAAGAGUGAGUGACGGUAAUGGGUAAAGAAGCAACGGCUAACUACGUG